GAUGAACGCUGGCGGCGUGCCUAAUACAUGCAAGUCGAGCGAACGGACGAGAAGCUUGCUUCUCUGAUGUUAGCGGCGGACGGGUGAGUAACACGUGGGUAACCUACCUAUAAGACUGGGAUAACUUCGGGAAACCGGAGCUAAUACCGGAUAAUAUUUUGAACCGCAUGGUUCAAAAGUGAAAGACGGUCUUGCUGUCACUUAUAGAUGGAUCCGCGCUGCAUUAGCUAGUUGGUAAGGUAACGGCUUACCAAGGCAACGAUGCAUAGCCGACCUGAGAGGGUGAUCGGCCACACUGGAACGGAGACACGGUCCAGACUCCUACGGGAGGCAGCAGUAGGGAAUCUUCCGCAAAGGGCGAAAGCCUGACGGAGCAACGCCGCGUGAGUGAUGAAGGUCUUCGGAUCGUAAAACUCUGUUAUUAGGGAAGAACAUAUGUGUAAGUAACUGUGCACAUCUUGACGGUACCUAAUCAGAAAGCCACGGCUAACUACGUG
This 497-nucleotide ribosomal RNA is filed under the name uncultured bacterium. Its description in RNAcentral is "partial 16S ribosomal RNA". It matches the Rfam family "Bacterial small subunit ribosomal RNA", at positions 28 to 507 of the family's 1533-position model. The record is from RNAcentral.